ACUGCCUUAACAGGGACGACACAUCACACCCAGCCAGCCAGCCACCCACCUUGGCUCUAGUCUGGCGAACAGAAGAACUCGAACUCUCGCCCUCUCGCCUUAACCCUCGGGAUAAUCUAGAUCCUUCGAGCAAAGAUCUUUCGAGAAGGCGAUGCAGAUCUGAAGGAGAGGGACGAUGGAGAUGUGUGCGUGUUUGAUCUUGUCUCUUCUCCUGCUUUUCCCGAUGGCGCGAGAAGCGAGGUCUUGUUCCCUGACGGAAGUGGAAUGCGACGGCGCGUGCAGGACGGCCUGUGACAGCCACAUCGAGUGCGCAGAUGGGCGGGACGAGUCGCCGCUGCUGUGCAAGGAGAGGCAAUGCGCGUAAGUUUGAUGGAGAACGU
RNAcentral lists this long non-coding RNA (380 nucleotides) under Penaeus japonicus. Its description in RNAcentral is "uncharacterized LOC122267590". Lineage: Eukaryota; Metazoa; Arthropoda; Malacostraca; Decapoda; Penaeidae. The record is from RNAcentral.